GCGGGUAUCUUGACCGUGCAAAGGUAGCACAAUCGAUUGUUCCUUAAAUAGGGACCAGUAUGAAUGGCACCACGAAGGCUUAGCUGUCUCCCCCCUCUAAUCAAUGAAACUGAUCUUCUCGUGAAGAAGCGAGAAUUUAUAUAUAAGACGAGAAGACCCCAUGGAGCUUUAAACGCAUCACCACCUAACUCAUAUUAACCAUAUUAAAGUAGUAGCGCUGUUCUAGAUAGUUUUCGGCUGGGGCAGCCCCGGAGUAAAAUAAAUCCUCCAGAAUUACACAAAAAAGAACAAAAAUCUCAGUUCAAGAACCACAAUUCUAAAAAUCAAAAUCUUGAUAUUAAUGAUCCAAACCUGAAUCUUUGAUCAAUGAACCAAGUUACCCUGGGGAUAACAGCGCAAUCCAUUUCUAGAGACCUUAUCGACAAAUGGGUUUACGACCUCGAUGUUGGAUCGGGGUACCCAGGUGACGCAGCCGUUACCAAUGGUUCGUUUGUUCAACGACUAAUACCCCACGUGAUCUGAGUUCAGACCGGA
This 534-nucleotide ribosomal RNA is filed under the name Afrixalus vibekensis. Its description in RNAcentral is "partial large subunit ribosomal RNA". It matches the Rfam family "Bacterial large subunit ribosomal RNA", at positions 1933 to 2620 of the family's 2925-position model. The record is from RNAcentral. Lineage: Eukaryota; Metazoa; Chordata; Amphibia; Anura; Hyperoliidae.